AGAUAUGAGGGGAUCUAGCUAUGACAUCUGUCAUAGAUGGAUCACCUGGGUUGCUGGGCUGAUCACCUGGGUUGAUUGGGCUGACCUGGCUGCCUAGGUGGCCUGUCCCCUACCUCCCUCACCACUCCCUGUGUGCGUCCCAGAAGCUGUGUGCUUGGUCGAGGAGGACAACCUUCCCCCACAGAGGAGGGCUGUUCUGUCAAGGGAUAGCCGUGGCUGCUAGAACCUCCAAAUAAGUGGUGAAAUUCUUAUUUUCAUAGAAGAAAAUCAGCUUAAAAUUAGAGAUUUAUUAUUUGAAGCCAACUGUAAA
Unclassified non-coding RNA from Otolemur garnettii (small-eared galago), 310 nucleotides. Its record names the gene 7SK. It matches the Rfam family "7SK RNA". Rfam says of the family: 7SK was discovered as an abundant small nuclear RNA in the mid-70s but a possible function has only recently been suggested. Two independent studies have found that 7SK RNA binds the CDK9/cyclin T complex (known as elongation factor P-TEFb). P-TEFb activates transcription by phosphorylating the C-terminal domain of RNA polymerase II. The record is from Ensembl. NCBI's taxonomy places the organism in Eukaryota, Metazoa, Chordata, Mammalia, Primates, Galagidae.